Molecule: non-coding RNA, 105 nt
Filed under: uncultured Ruminococcus sp.
Lineage: Bacteria; Bacillati; Bacillota; Clostridia; Eubacteriales; Oscillospiraceae
Description: pemK RNA
Rfam family: pemK RNA
Source: RNAcentral
ACAAUGAUACUUCCGUCCAGUCACAGUCCGAGCGGACAUGCCGUUGGCAUAAGCCGUCGCAGGCAAUGAGGGCGGCCGUGGGCGAUCCCUGCGGUGGUGAAAACC